This 1448-nucleotide ribosomal RNA is filed under the name uncultured bacterium. RNAcentral describes it as "partial 16S ribosomal RNA". It matches the Rfam family "Bacterial small subunit ribosomal RNA". The record is from RNAcentral.
GAUGAACGCUGGCGGCGUGCUUAACACAUGCAAGUCGAGCGGAGUGAAUCAAGAGCUUGCUUUUGAUUGACUUAGCGGCGGACGGGUGAGUAACGUGUGGGCAACCUGCCUCAUACAGGGGAAUAAUCACCGGAAACGGUGACUAAUACCGCAUGUGGCGUAUUGAAGGCAUCUUCGAUACGAGAAAGGAGGAAUCCGGUAUGAGAUGGGCCCGCAUCUGAUUAGCUAGUUGGUGAGAUAACAGCCCCACCAAGGCGACCAUCAGUAGCCGACCUGAGAGGGUGACCGGCCACAUUGGGACUGAGACACGGCCCAAACUCCUACGGGAGGCAGCAGUGGGGAAUAUUGCACAAUGGGGGGAACCCUGAUGCAGCAACGCCGCGUGAAGGAAGACGGUUUUCGGAUUGUAAACUUCUAUCAAUAGGGAAGAAAGAGAUGACGGUACCUAAAUAAGAAGCCCCGGCUAACUACGUGCCAGCAGCCGCGGUAAUACGUAGGGGGCAAGCGUUAUCCGGAAUUACUGGGCGUAAAGCGCACGCAGGCGGUUUGUUAAGUCAGAUGUGAAAUCCCCGGGCUCAACCUGGGAACUGCAUCUGAUACUGGCAAGCUUGAGCCUCGUAGAGGGGGGUAGAAUUCCAGGUGUAGCGGUGAAAUGCGUAGAGAUCUGGAGGAAUACCGGUGGCGAAGGCGGCCCCCUGGACGAAGACUGACGCUCAGGUGCGAAAGCGUGGGGAGCAAACAGGAUUAGAUACCCUGGUAGUCCACGCCGUAAACGAUGUCGACUUGGAGGUUGUGCCCUUGAGGCGUGGCUUCCGGAGCUAACGCGUUAAGUCGACCGCCUGGGGAGUACGGCCGCAAGGUUAAAACUCAAAUGAAUUGACGGGGGCCCGCACAAGCGGUGGAGCAUGUGGUUUAAUUCGAUGCAACGCGAAGAACCUUACCUGGUCUUGACAUCCACGGAAGUUUUCAGAGAUGAGAAUGUGCCUUCGGGAACCGUGAGACAGGUGCUGCAUGGCUGUCGUCAGCUCGUGUUGUGAAAUGUUGGGUUAAGUCCCGCAACGAGCGCAACCCUUAUCCUUUGUUGCCAGCGGUCCGGCCGGGAACUCAAAGGAGACUGCCAGUGAUAAACUGGAGGAAGGUGGGGAUGACGUCAAGUCAUCAUGGCCCUUACGACCAGGGCUACACACGUGCUACAAUGGCGCAUACAAAGAGAAGCGACCUCGCGAGAGCAAGCGGACCUCAUAAAGUGCGUCGUAGUCCGGAUUGGAGUCUGCAACUCGACUCCAUGAAGUCGGAAUCGCUAGUAAUCGUGGAUCAGAAUGCCACGGUGAAUACGUUCCCGGGCCUUGUACACACCGCCCGUCACACCAUGGGAGUGGGUUGCAAAAGAAGUAGGUAGCUUAACCUUCGGGAGGGCGCUUACCACUUUGUGAUUCAUGACUGGGGUG